This is a long non-coding RNA of Nannospalax galili (Upper Galilee mountains blind mole rat), 726 nucleotides long. RefSeq lists it as uncharacterized. NCBI's taxonomy places the organism in Eukaryota, Metazoa, Chordata, Mammalia, Rodentia, Spalacidae. The record is from RefSeq and is a predicted model, not a curated record. The transcript is spliced from 2 exons.
ACUUUGCAGCCGGUCGGAGCGACGGAGUUGAGGCCGCCAGACCGAACAGAAAACUGAAAACUCCACUUACAGCAGAUCAUCAGCCCAACUUCUUAAGAAUCAAACACGAACACUGGAUUAUCUCCUAAGAUUAAAGCCAUCUUGGAGAUUGCAACAGAGGGUGAGAGCCAUCCCCAUACUUGGACAUGAAAAAUGACCUUCCUUCCAUCCAGGAAGUUGCAUAUUCAGCCAAACCUCCAGAAGUGGUAAGAAGGGAUCCCCUUCUGAUCAAACUCAUCCAGAUGAACCAAAUAGGACUUAAAGAAUGGAAUGGAAUGGAGAAGCACAAGGGUGACCAGGCCUCUGUCUUCUGCUCUGCUUGCUCUCACAGCCACUGAAUGCCCCGCCCUCUCCCAGACUGCUGUCUAUGUGCUGCAGGCCUGUCUAUGUCCAAGGUCAGCUAGAGUGGGAGCUGAAAUCUUGGCCCAGUUCUACCUUAAGCAUUGACCACUGGAGUGCCUCUGUGUCUACCCAGAGGAUGUGGUUCCUUUCUCUAAGCUGCACCAAGUCACCUGGUAUGGACUGUUGGUUCCAAUCAUCCCACCUAAACUCCAGCAUUAUCUAGGCUAUAUUCCUGACUUUGGAUGAAUGAUUCUCAUGAACAACUUGGGUUUAUUAGAAGAUAUAAUAUGUACUAUAUAUUGAAAUUGACUAUAGAUAAAGCUAAAAACAUUAACAUGUAUAUGA